This 497-nucleotide ribosomal RNA is filed under the name uncultured bacterium. RNAcentral's name for it is "partial 16S ribosomal RNA". It matches the Rfam family "Bacterial small subunit ribosomal RNA", at positions 28 to 507 of the family's 1533-position model. The record is from RNAcentral.
GAUGAACGCUGGCGGCGUGCCUAAUAUAUGCAAGUCGAGCGAACAGACGAGGAGCUUGCUCCUUCGACGUUAGCGGCGGACGGGUGAGUAACACGUAGGUAACCUACCUAUAAGACUGGGAUAACUUCGGGAAACCGGAGCUAAUACCGGAUAAUAUUUCGAACCGCAUGGUUCGAUAGUGAAAGAUGGCUUUGCUAUCACUUAUAGAUGGACCUGCGCCGUAUUAGCUAGUUGGUAAGGUAACGGCUUACCAAGGCAACGAUACGUAGCCGACCUGAGAGGGUGAUCGGCCACACUGGAACUGAGACACGGUCCAGACUCCUACGGGAGGCAGCAGUAGGGAAUCUUCCGCAAUGGGCGAAAGCCUGACGGAGCAACGCCGCGUGAGUGAUGAAGGUCUUCGGAUCGUAAAACUCUGUUAUUAGGGAAGAACAAACGUGUAAGUAACUGUGCACGUCUUGACGGUACCUAAUCAGAAAGCCACGGCUAACUACGUG